UUCAUCUUGGUGCCACCCAAGACAUAUAUACAGCAGACUAUGGCUUGUGCAUCCUUGGAAUGCCUGAAUUAUAUCUAAGCCACUGGCCCCAACUCUACUCAGUAUGUGCUUUGUUUGGCCUGUCACGACGAGCUGGCAAAAGCCAGUGGAUACUAACUGCCUCAAGUGGAGUCUUGGGGCCCCACGAGGCCGUGAAACAAAUCUGCGACCAUCAUCAUACCCUUCAGUCCAAUUCAGCCUGAGGACACCUUCUCCAAGAUGUUGUCUCAGGCAGCCUCCACCUUCAGGGAUCAACCUGAACCUUACUACCAAACACUCUCAUCCUGAACACUGAACUCACAGUCCCACAUUGCAGCUGGCAGUGAAGAUCAACAGCAGCUGUCCACAUGAGAUGAGCCAUGUGAUCUAGAUAGGCUUCAGGGAGACCAUCUGGAGCUAGAGUUGAACAAAUAUGUA
Neomonachus schauinslandi (Hawaiian monk seal) is the source of this 456-nucleotide long non-coding RNA. RefSeq lists it as uncharacterized. The transcript has 3 exons. The record is from RefSeq and is a predicted model, not a curated record. Lineage: Eukaryota; Metazoa; Chordata; Mammalia; Carnivora; Phocidae.